CCUACGGGCGGCAGCAGUGGGGAAUAUUGGACAAUGGGGGGAACCCUGAUCCAGCCAUGCCGCGUGUGUGAAGAAGGCCCUCGGGUUGUAAAGCACUUUCAGUGAGGAAGAACGCCUGGUGGUUAAUACCCAUCAGGAAAGACAUCACUCACAGAAGAAGCACCGGCUAACUCCGUGCCAGCAGCCGCGGUAAUACGGAGGGUGCGAGCGUUAAUCGGAAUUACUGGGCGUAAAGCGCGCGUAGGUGGCUUGAUAAGCCGGUUGUGAAAGCCCCGGGCUCAACCUGGGAACGGCAUCCGGAACUGUCAAGCUAGGGUGCAGGAGAGGAAGGUAGAAUUCCCGGUGUAGCGGUGAAAUGCGUAGAGAUCGGGAGGAAUACCAGUGGCGAAGGCGGCCUUCUGGACUGACACUGACACUGAGGUGCGAAAGCGUGGGUAGCAAACAGGAUUAGAUACCCGAGUAGUC
RNAcentral lists this ribosomal RNA (465 nucleotides) under Vreelandella stevensii. Its description in RNAcentral is "partial 16S ribosomal RNA". It matches the Rfam family "Bacterial small subunit ribosomal RNA", at positions 338 to 795 of the family's 1533-position model. The record is from RNAcentral. Lineage: Bacteria; Pseudomonadati; Pseudomonadota; Gammaproteobacteria; Oceanospirillales; Halomonadaceae.